AGUGAGGUGAGUGGAGGAGAGAGGCAUUAGUGGCGGUUGCUAGAGAUUAGGAGAGGAGUUUGGUUUAUUGUUAUUUUUCCAGUUUCUUAUUUUGAUUUUAAUUUAUUACUUUUAUUUGAUUCAUUUGAUUUUAUUCACUUUUAUUUGGUUUAUUAUUUUACUUUUUUAUUUUAACACUUUUAUUUUACUUUUUGUUCUCUUCUCCCUUUCCCCUCCUUGCGCUUUGUGGACCUGCUGGCUUGAACAUGGGCAUCACACACAGGAACUGAAGUGGCACUUCCAUCAUCUGCUCUGGAGCUUCUGACAGAGACCCCCAAUGCUUCACACCUACUCCUCCUGCUUAACGUAAGUGUCCUGAUAGCAUCGGAGAUGAUAAAGGGAUGCCAGGGACUCCAUGGUGGGGGCAAUGGAGGGCCGCUUUGGCCCAGACUAGCCCCUGACCCUGAGAUGCUCUUUCCUCCUGCAGGACCUCUUAUGUUAUUCCAUAGAGGAAAGUGGGGAGCCAAAAAACCUGGCAGCCAACUGGCCUUUGCCCGAAAGUUCCCCCAUCUCAGAGUAAGUAGCUCUCCUUCAUGGAUUUAGUCCUUUGAAUCCUUCCAUUUCCCCAAGAGGCUCCCAAAGCUACUCAUCCUCUGCAGUUGAUAACAGACCUAACAGGGAAAAACGGCUUACUCUUCUGAUGACAUCAGAGAAUUCUAGAUGACAUCAACUCAUUCCAUACCGUUACGGAUGCAUGAUUCCCACAGACAAGUUUCUUGGCAAGACAAGGACCUUCGCUGGCCACUUGAGUGUCUUCUUCAGCAUCCCCAAAGAAUGAGCUGGGCUGCAAAAGCUGCACCAAAGGGAUGGGGCAACCCAGGCUAAAGGGGGUGGGGCUGUCCUCCCCCCACCCCCAAUCUCACCAGGCUGCUAGGUAGGAGAGCAAGAGCCAGAGAGAGUUGUGGGAGACACAGAGACCGGGUUGCUCUGUGCUGAAGUCAAAGCUGCAACUAAUGGAGAAGCAAGAUCUGCUGGGGUUGUCAAUGCUGUGAGCCCCUCCAUCCUAAAACCAUAUAUCAUAAAGACACCACAGUCUCUGCUGACCUUCAUUCCAGGGAAAUCAAAGACCCCUGGAGUCUCACCGCUCAGAGACUGGGGUAGUUUGCAAAUACAAACACAUACAUACACAAUAAUUUGUGCCUGUAUUCCUAACACAUGACUAAGCGUGAAGGGCAUGUUAUGUGCUUUAGCAACAGCCCACCUGUAAAUAAGGAAAUGCAGCCUCCGUUGCUGAUUUGUGAAAAAGCAAGAAAGCAAAUCUUCUCUGACUGUGGAGGCAGAGCAGAGACAUUCUGGCUGGUAGCCAUUGGUAACCAUCCCCUCUAUGAAUGUCUCUCAUCUUCUUAUGAAGCCGUGUGGAAGCCUGAGACAUUUUUCUGCCUUUGGCGACAGAGAAUCCUAGAACUGUAGGGCUGAAGGGACCCCAAGGGUCAUCUAGUCCACAUAUCCCCCUGAAAUGGAAGAAGGCAGUGCACACGUACACGGGUUCCAUGUACGGAGUCCAGCUGGAGGGGUGGCUGGGUUUUAUUCUAGCUCCACCAACUCUGGGGGCUGCAGACUAGCUUAGGGGGCUACAGUGCAGCCUGCAUGGCCCCCACAGGGCUCUCUCCUCCAGUCCCUUCCUGCUGCCCCCCCUACUUUAGCACCUGAAGCAGCCUCGUCUCCCUGCCUAACAGGAAGGCCAGCCCUUUCUCUCUUUCUUUGGCCUUUGCUAUAUCACAGGCCUAGAUGCUUAGCAAACAUUUUCGGGUAGCAGAGGCAGGGAGACAAAGACUGGCAACAGAAUCAGAAAGGGCACCAGGUUGGGAUUGGCAAAGCUCUCCGGCUUAACCAUCUUGUCAAUUGAAAACAAAGUAGCGAAAGGAAUUGAUUUUGAUGAUGUGAUUUCAAAAUUUGCAGAGAACAAAGUUGGCGGGGGGGGGGGGGAAGGUUUUAAGUGCUUAUGCUCACAAUGUUAAGUAAAUAAACCAGAAAGCAACAUUUUCAACUGUAAGUAUCUUAUUUCUCCUUUUAAGAAUUUCAAGCAGGGGGUGACAAGAAAUUUUCUGCACCAGGUACCAUCUGACCUUGCUACGCCACUGGUAUGAAAGGUUCCUUUGGGCCAGCUGUUUAGAGCACCAUAGACACACACCCUGCCACCCCCAUCUAGAGAGUUAGGCUGCAAAUGUCUGCCUGGAUCCUUCAAAGGUUUAUAUGGGUCAGAACAGAUAGUACUGUAGGGAUGGAGGAGUUGUGCCCCCUCGACCCUCUUUCCUUCUAUUCUCAGCUUUGCAUCCCACAAUGUCAGUGCUGCAAUUGUGCUAAACCAGGAGACUGUCACAUUGGGAUCUCUGCAAGGUCAUUGCACUCCUGUAUAGUUCAACACUUUCUGCCUUCUUCACAGCUGACCCAAAGGAAGUUGGAUGAUCUCCCUUCCUGUAAGGAAGAGCAAAUGCUGCCCUCUUGCGGCACAUGCUGGGAUUCCCCCUCCCCAGCUUCACUUUCCAAACCUGGUGUAGGACUCACCAACAGACGUCGGUCUUUAUUUGCUGUGUAUUUAUCCCAGCCUUCCUGCAAGGAGCACAGGGAAGCUGACAUAGUUCUCAUAACUCAACCCAGUGCAGUAGCUUAGCCUGGAUUAUAUACAUAGCUUCUUGAAUUUGAGCUCACAUGUCCCAGCUCCUAGCGCAUGGGUUUGUUGUUUUUGUCGAUGGAGUUUUCUUGGCAGGGAUACUGGAGUGGCUUGCCGCUUUCUCCUCCAGGUGGAUCACGUUUGGUCUAAACUCUCCACUAUGACCUGACCAUCUUGGGUGCCCUGCUCGGCAUAGUUCAUAGCUUCUCUGAGUUAUUCAAGCCCCUUUGCCACGGCAAGGCAGUGAUCCAUGAAGGGAAGGACAGAUCGUGAAGCUGAGACUCCAAUACUUUGGCCACCUCAUGAGAAGAGAAGACUCCCUGGAAAAGACCCCGAUGUUGGGAAAGAUGGGGGGCACAAGGAGAAGGGGAAGACAGAGGACGAGAUGGUUGGAUAGUGUUCUCAAAGCUAUCAGCAUAAGUCUGACCAAACUGCGGGAGGCAGUGGGAGACAGGAGUGCCUGGCGUGCUCUGGUCCAUGGGGUCACAAAGAGUCGGACACGACUAAAUGACUAAACAAAAACAACAAGCGCAUGGGUCAUCAAACGAAGGCCCGCAGGCCAGAUCAGGCCCAAUUGCCUUCUGAAUCCAGUCCGCGGACGGUCCAGGAAUUGCCUUGUGGAUCACCAGCACGCGUGUUCUUUCCUUCUCCCUCCCUCUCUCUCUCUCUCACAGUGGUGGUGGCACCUCCUCCCUCCCUCCUCCUGGCUUCUCCCCACCAUGCCUAGAGGAAGAAGGAAGCUGGGCUUUGUUGGUGCCAGCAGCAGCAGCACUCAAGCGGCUGCCAUUUUAAGCAGCCCCUCUCCAGAGCUCUUUCGCACGCUGCUUAUCGUCCCUCUGCUGCCGCCACUUCCAGCCCCUGCUGUUCGCAAGACACAGGUAAGCAGCUUCAAAAUAUAGUCCGGCCCUCCACAAGGUCUGAGGGACAGUGGACUGGCCCCCUACUGAAAAAGUUUGCUGACCCCUGUCCUAGCGCAUGUUGGCCACUACACUGGACUUGGCUCCCCAGUCACCUUUCAUCUGCCUCGCUCCCUGAAUGCAUCCUUCCCUAAAAUACUUUUUGUGCCACUUUAAGAACUAUGAGCGAACCUGAAAACUUACCCAGUAGGUUCAAUUCCAGUGGGGACCCAUUUUUUAAAAAUCAAAAUGUCAAAAAACAACAGCCACACACCAAUUGCCCUCUUAGCAGCGCAACCUGGGCUGCACCCAGGACUGCCUCAUCAGCACAAAUUUGCACCCUCCUGGAGCAAUUUCACCUGGCUGGAAUGUGGCCUUGAGCUCUGAUGUUGCCUCCUUUUUACCUGGUGGAUAGAAAAGGGCAUGUGAGUGAAUGUAGGAACUAGCCUACUGGGUAAAGUUACAUUUUAGAUUAGAUGCUCUACAACAGGGGUCAGCAAACUUUUUUAGCAGGGGGCUGGUCCAGUGUCCGUCAGACCUUGUGAGGGGGCCGGACUAUAUUUUUUUGGGGGGAAAUGAAUGAAUUCCUAUGCCCCACAAUUAACCCAGUGAUGCAUUUUAAAUAAAAGCACACAUUCCACUCAUGUAAAAACUGUUGGGAUACUGCCAGGGAGACAAAGUCCAUCAUGGCCCCCAAGCCGCCUCCGGACGUCCAUCGAUCUCCCGUAGACAUGCAGUAUCAUUCAAUUAGCGACACGAGCUCCAGAAAUAGCUUGCCACAUUCCAGAGCUGAUGCAUGCUCAAUCAGCAGAUAAUGCACAGCGAAAGAUGCACUCAGGAGAGUAUAUUUACAACUUUAUUCAGCGUUGGUCAGAACAAAAAGAAAACAUGACUGCCUGCUUCAGUGUCUCAGACACACAGAGAGAAAUGAAAGCAUAGACACAACAGAAACAUCCUGUGAACAGGAAAUACGCAGGCUGUGACACAAACAUCCUGCUCCCUUUUAAGGUGGAACGGAAAUAUCCUAACAAAAACACGCUGAUUCCCGGACCGUCCAUGAGCCAGAUUUAGGAGAUGAUUGGGCCGGAUCCGGCCCCCGGGCCUUAGUUUGCCUACCCAUGGUCUACAAGACCCACUGGCACUCUUGUGACCUGAAACUCACUGUUGUGUCUUUGUCAGCUUGGCCAGCAGAUGGAGCACAUUUCACAAAAUAUGGUGAAGUUACAAGUGAGUUACAAGGAACAUCGGAAGAGCCUUCUGGAUCAGGCCAGUGACCCAUUUACACCAGCAUCCUGUUCACACAGUGGCCAACCAGAUGCCUGAGGGGAACCUACAAGUAGGACCUGAGCACAAGAGCCCUUUCAACUCCUGUGGUUUCUGACAGUGGAGGCAGAGUAUAGUCAUCAUGGCUAGUAGCCAUGUAUAGCCUUCUCCUCCAUGAAUUUGUCUAAUCCUCUUUUAAAACCACCCAAGUUUGUGGCCAUCACCACCUCCUGUGCGAGUGAGUUCCGUAGUUUAACUAUGUGCUGCAUGAAGAAGUGUUUUCUUUUUAACUUGCUUCCUCUAUCCUCAGAAGGUUUGGGGAAAUAUAUCCCUUUCAGUUUGACAUAUUUCCGCAUCAGUUCAUGAUUUAUUGUCUUGUUGUUUUUAGUCAGCAUUCUCGUCAGCAAUUCUGCAAGUAUACACAUUUUUGCAAGUGAUAGCCCCUAACGUCGUGCAGUUUUGCAUAUCAUUUUCACCAGCAUAUGCAUCUUUGUGAACACUUUCCCUACAAUAUAUGCACUUAAAAAGGUAAAGGGACCCCUGGCCAUUAGGUCCAGUCGUGGCCGACUCUGGGGUUGCGGCGCUCAUCUCGCUUUAUUGGCCGAGGGAGCCGGUGUACAGCUUCCAGGUCAUGUGGCCAGCAUGACUAAGCCGCUUCUGGCGAACCAGAGCAGCGCACGGAAACGCCGUUUACCUUCCCGCCGGAGUGGUACCUAUUUAUCUACUUGCACUUCGUGCUUUUGAACUGCUAGGUUGGCAGGAGCAGAAAUCGAGCAAUGGGAGCUCACCCCGUCACGGGGAUUCGAACCACCACCCGCAUCCCUUAAUAUAUGCUCUUAUGUGCAUGUUAAUUUUGCGUCACAAAAUUCAGGCACUUGCAAAUCGGUCGGCAUUUUAAUGCAAAUCUCUUCCAACACUCACAUUUUUGCAUGCAGUUGUCAUGGACGGGCUGGAUGCAGAGGACUGGGGGGGAGGCACCAGCUGGGGAACCCUGAAGGGAAUCCUCAGAGGAAGAAGGCUCCGAAACCAGGUGAUUGGUGGUGGGACGAUGAUGAGUGGUCAGAGGAAGUAGAGGCAGCAAACUGGGAGGAAGAGGUGUCAGAAGCUGAAGGCAUAACAGGAUUUAGUGAGAGGGAAGAGGCUGGGGCAGAGAGCAGUCCAGCAUCAGAGGCAGAAGCAGAGCGGGGUCAAGAGGCAGAGUGGAGGCAGGCUGCUGAAGAAGCCAGGGAGUCUCCCUUUCCUGAUGCAUCCAACUCCCUUCCUGUCUGGUCUCCCAGAACAUGUGGAGAGAUGAAGAGGGUGGAGCAAAGAGAGACAAGGCAAACUAGCCUUAGACUGCUGGGGAAGGAACUGGGAGGAGCCUUAGAGAACGGUGGGAAGGCAGGGACCUUCAGUCCUUGCAACUGCCUCAUUGCAGCAACACCUAUUGGGAAGAGUUGCUGUGGUCGCUAGGCCUGCGUUGCAUGUGCAUUCUGUAGUUGACCUCCUUUGCAAUGUUUUAGUUUGAAAUCUUUAAGAUAACAUUUCAGUUUCCUGUUCCUUACGGUGCACCAAAUGCAUGCUUUAUAUUUGGCUUUCGUCAGUAAUGUUUUGUUCUGGAUUGUGUCAUUUGAUAUUUGCACGUGUUGCAAACAGACUUGAGAUUCCCCACCCCCCUUAAAAUAAAGUGGGGCAGAAAUGAAAUGAAUAAUAAUAAAACUAGAAUACGAUGCGUCAAAGGCCCACCAUGACAGAAACCAUGCAAUGGAGCAAGGAUGACUUGAGCUCAUAAGCUUAUCUCGGGUGCAACCAAAGUUGUAUAAUCUGACUCCUGCACACUCAGCAACUUGGUGGGAAAUACCUCAAAACACAUGGGCUUCGGUCAUGUAUAGAAAUAGCAUUCCUGCAUAAGCUGAUUUAAUCAUUUUUUUUUUGCAGAUCAACUAAGUCUGAGUCAGCACCUUUUAACUCUUCUGCUCUUCGCUACCCCUGCCAAACUUGGUAGAAAAAUAGACUAAGCAAAUCCUUCCUUGGCAGAUAAGACCAAUUCCUGUCAGCGAGGUUUUGAGACAACUUAAAGGUGUGAUAUGCUGGCAAUGAAAUGGUGCAUGCUAUCUUGUACUUUUAAAUUGAAUCUUUCCAUGUUUUGUAUUUUAUAGCUUUGUUAACUGCUUAGAGGUUUUCUUACAAACCAGCGGUAUACUAAUUUUGUUAAUUAAAAUACAGUGGUACCUCAGGUUA
Podarcis lilfordi (Lilford's wall lizard) is the source of this 7029-nucleotide non-coding RNA. NCBI's taxonomy places the organism in Eukaryota, Metazoa, Chordata, Lepidosauria, Squamata, Lacertidae. The record is from the annotation of a GenBank genome assembly.